Molecule: ribosomal RNA, 705 nt
Filed under: Triticum aestivum (bread wheat)
Lineage: Eukaryota; Viridiplantae; Streptophyta; Magnoliopsida; Poales; Poaceae
Description: partial small subunit ribosomal RNA
Source: RNAcentral
AUGGCUUUCCACAUGAGAUCCAUAAGUUUGCCUUCUAGGCCUCAGGCCAAUGAGACCGAGGUCGAGCAAGAACUGCUGAGCCUAGAGGCAAGCAUCUCUUCUUCCAUCACCAUCGGCAUGAUGUGUGAUGGUCUGAGGAGGCUCGGAGACAUCUACAAUGGUGUUGAAGAGAUGAUUUGCCUACCAAGAAACCAAGUUAGCUCCACUCAGCAGAGGAAGAUGUUGGAUGGAGAGAUGGAAUGCUCUCUUGAGUUGUUGGACCUCUACAGUAACAUGCAAGAGAUCUUCGUCGAAAUGAAGGCCAUCAUCCAAGAGCUGCAAGUGGCUCUAAGAAAAGGGGAUGAUGCAGCUGCUCAAGCCAAGAUCCAAUCUUAUGCCCGCUUGGCGAAGAAGGCCAAGAAUCAUUUCAAGAAGGCCACAAAAAAGACUCCUGCAGAUUGCAAGAUGGUCAUGCUAUUGACCAAGGCCAGAGGGAUCUCUGUCUCUCUCCUGGAGUCCACACUCCAUCUCUUGUCGAAGAAAAUUGAAAUGCCUAAACAGUCUCUUGUUUCCAAGGCAUUUCACCAAAAGAAGGCAGUUGUCUGCAAAGAGGAGCAAUUGCAGGAGCUAGAGUGCAGUAUCGGAGAUCUUGAGAGUGGAGCAGGACAUCUGUUCAGGAAAUUAGUCCAGUGCAGAGUUUCUCUACUCAACAUUCUUAGCUCGUAG